UCGGCAGGUAGGAUAAUCCUUACCCCUUCCUCCUUUUUGGAGAACAGAUACGAAUACGAUGAUUGGAGUUCCCAUGAUUCGUGAUUAACGACUCUGAGUAAUCGGGACUUGCAAAUCAGUAAAGUUAUAGGUGAA
This is a small nucleolar RNA of Artibeus jamaicensis (Jamaican fruit-eating bat), 135 nucleotides long. RefSeq annotates it as U8 small nucleolar RNA. The transcript has a single exon. The record is from RefSeq and is a predicted model, not a curated record. NCBI's taxonomy places the organism in Eukaryota, Metazoa, Chordata, Mammalia, Chiroptera, Phyllostomidae.